UCACAGAACUGGAAAAACUUGAUGUUAUUCCUUCUCUCAGAGAGCUUACUGUCUAUGGCAAUCCAAUUUGUAGAAAAAUGGUCCAUCGACAUGUGCUCAUAUUCCGCCUGCCUAAUUUACAGAUGUUGGAUGGAAUUCCUAUAAAUUCUGAUGAUAGGGCAAAAGCUGAAUUUCAUUUCUCUGAACUACAAGCAAAGAAAAACUCAAUAAUCCAGAAUAAUCUCCCCACUUCAAAGUCCUUACUUCCGUCACACCUGCAAGCUCCUUUGCCAUGUAAGUUCGUUCCUGUUACCAGCUCUCCUACGGAUGGUGGGUCAUUCUGCCACGUUAAAGCCUCUCCCAUUAAAAUAACAAAUGUUAUUCUACCUGCUGGAUUUAGCCAUUUCUUGGGACCUGACUUCUCCUUAACUCCUGAAGUUGAAGGUAUUUUUACAAAGAGUUUCAGAGAGAAUGAAAAAACAAACAAACGACAGCAGCAGCAACAAUAAAAGGAAAGAAAACCCUCCUUUAA
Molecule: long non-coding RNA, 511 nt
Filed under: Rattus norvegicus (Norway rat)
Lineage: Eukaryota; Metazoa; Chordata; Mammalia; Rodentia; Muridae
Description: long non-coding RNA NONRATT024383
Source: RNAcentral